Molecule: ribosomal RNA, 468 nt
Filed under: uncultured bacterium
Lineage: Bacteria
Description: partial 16S ribosomal RNA
Rfam family: Bacterial small subunit ribosomal RNA
Source: RNAcentral
GACGAACGCUGGCGGCGUGCUUAACACAUGCAAGUCGAACGGAAAGGCCCUGCUUUUGUGGGGUGCUCGAGUGGCGAACGGGUGUGUAACACGUGAGUAACCUGCCCUUGACUUUGGGAUAACUUCAGGAAACUGGGUCUAAUACCGGAUAGGAGCUCCUGCUUCAUGGUGGGGGUUGGAAAGUUUCGGCGGUUGGGGAUGGACUCGCGGCUUAUCAGCUUGUUGGUGGGGUAGUGGCUUACCAAGGCUUUGAAGGGUAGCCGGCCUGAGAGGGUGACCGGCCAAAUUGGGACUGAGAUACGGCCCAGACUCCUACGGGAGGCAGCAGUGGGGAAUAUUGCACAAUGGGCGGAAGCCUGAUGCAGCAACGCCGCGUGGGGGAUGACGGCCUUCGGGUUGUAAACCGCUUUCGCCUGUGACGAAGCGUGAGUGACGGUAAUGGGUAAAGAAGCACCGGCUAACUACGUG